UGGGGAAUAUUGGACAAUGGGCGGAAGCCUGAUCCAGCAACGCCGCGUGAGGGAUGACGGCCUUCGGGUUGUAAACCUCUUUCAGUACCGACGAAGCGAAAGUGACGGUAGGUACAGAAGAAGGACCGGCCAACUACGUGCCAGCAGCCGCGGUAAUACGUAGGGUCCGAGCGUUGUCCGGAAUUAUUGGGCGUAAAGGGCUCGUAGGCGGUUUGUCGCGUCGGGAGUGAAAACAGCGGGCUUAACUCGUUGCUUGCUUUCGAUACGGGCAGACUAGAGGUAUGCAGGGGAGAAUGGAAUUCCUGGUGUAGCGGUGAAAUGCGCAGAUAUCAGGAGGAACACCGGUGGCGAAGGCGGUUCUCUGGGCAUUACCUGACGCUGAGGAGCGAAAAGUGUGGGGAGCGAACAGGAUUAGAUCCCUGGUAGUCCACACCGU
Molecule: ribosomal RNA, 436 nt
Filed under: uncultured bacterium
Lineage: Bacteria
Description: partial 16S ribosomal RNA
Rfam family: Bacterial small subunit ribosomal RNA
Source: RNAcentral